AGUCCGGUGCUGGGAAAGGCGAUUCAUGGAGGUCUUGGACUCUUGGGAUAUUCUUCUCGCAUCACUCCCUUUCUCUCUUCUCUUCCUCCUUCGCUCUAUUUCACAUUAUCUUAUCCUCGAUUCAAGAAGUCUCCCAGCUCCGACUCUCCGCUGCAGGAUCUUCGUCACGGCUACAUCGGGGGGAAUCGGUCGGUAAAGAAGGGUCUUGGGAUAAUUCUCUCUUAUCCUCCUCCUUCGUUCCUAUUCCAGAUUAUCGUAUCCUGGAUACAAGAAGUCUCCCAACCCUGCGGUUGGUUUUCUUUAUCAAGAUCCUUCUCUUUCUUCUUCUUCUUACCGUUGUUCAUGUAGACGGAUUAUGGCCAUUAUGUUAAGCUUCUUUAUCUCUUCCUUUUUCUUUUCUAGGGUUUUUCUUGCUUCUUUUCUUCAUUUUUUUUGCUGUUAGUUUUACAAGAAGAGGCUGUGAUGAUUCCUGAACGAGGGUUUGCUGCAUUGGGAAGCGGAAAACGGCUAUGUCUAACGGCAAAGCGGAAUCUUGGAUGCUCUGCUGUUCGGUUUGCUGCCUUCUUGCUUUAUCUGGGGGACGUCUUGAGGCUAAGAACGCGAAUAAAUGGUGAAUUCGAGCCAAUUUUUCCUCUUCCUUUUCUUCUCUUUUCUAAGUCGGCGUUUUUUUUCAAGAUUUUGUUUUUAAGGUUUCGUGAAUUUCUUUUGCUGCUGUUUAUCUCAUCUGAUGAGUUGUUCUUGUGGUUCCUCAAGAAUUCAUAGGAUAUGGAGGUCAAUGGAGGAUAUAAGGUAGGGUUUUUAGAACCCAAUUCCUCAAAUUAUAUUAUGUUGGUCACUGAAAAUUAGGGAUUGUUUGCUUCCAAUUAGAUUUGUAAAGGUUUUGAAGAAUCUAUCGCCUUCCAACGACGAUUUCUCAAAUUUCUUGAUUCAUCAAUUUUUUACUCCUUUUUUACUAAUUUUUCUUGGGAAAUGAAGGCGCGCUGUCUUGCAUGGAUUCCCUUUUCCUCCAUCUCUUUACUCCUUUCCUUCUUUUCUCUCCAAGCAAUAAUAUGUCAGUCGACAACUUGGAAAAGCUCCCAUACCAUACUCCAGAGCAAAUUCUUUGUUGUACAGACCUGGCACUGCUUUUUUUCUAAUGCGGCUUUCAUACGGGAUGACCGGGGCUCAUGAUAACUUAAGUUCUAUCUUGUUUUCAUAAAAAAUUUUAGCCUCCUUAUUGCAGGAGUUGAAGGAGUCCUUAGAAAUUUUUCUGAAGCUGGUAUUGAAGAAGCCCAUCCGCUUCAACUUCCCCUUGAUGAUGCAAUAGAAUCCCUCAAAUGAUUUAUGCUGCUGCUUUAUGUGCUUUUAUUUUUCUCAAUCUUCCUACUCAUCUCUGCAAACUUAAUGGUAGUUUGCUCUGCUUAUGUGCUUUUAUGCUUCAGACACCAGGAUCACACUCCCUGCUGCUCUCAAGUGGUGUUUCAAGUGCUACUGCAUUAAUUUCUGUGCUGCCUGUUCAGAUUUGAGGGUAAUGUUGGUGCUACUUUAACGGGCAUAGCAGGGCUUAGGGUAGUUGCUAUGGUUCUUGCUGUCUUUUCAGUCAGGUAAGUAAGAACUUGCUCAUGUACAUCAUUACAUCAUUCUAUAUUGUUAGCAACAAAAGAUUUUUUAUUAUUAAAGCUUGCAGAUACUUUACUGAUAUAGCAAGCCCUGAUGCUGCAAUUUAUAAAGGGAUAGAGAAGUGUAGAGUGUGCAGUGAAUGGAGCCAUUAAGAUCUUGACAGUUGCAGUAUUAUUCAUACUUCAGAUAUUGGCAUAUUUUCUUUUCUUAAAUAAAAUAAGGUCUUUCAACCCCCCAAAAAAACAUAACUUUGUGACUGUUGUGGUUAUUGUGGUACCAAAACUGCUUACGUUGGCUGUCACCUUCACCUUGAUAUAAGUACACAUGAUUUCUCUGGUACAUAUCUUUCUUGAACUUAAAUACAGAUGUUUCCUGGCAUAUAUGCUUGGAUGGUGUUCAAAUGAUUGCAUUACAGGUGCUUAGGCUUUCAGCAUGUGAAACUAUGGGGUCAGCUGCAACUAUUUGCAGUUAUAAAAGGAGCUUUGACCCUUAAUUAGGCAUACAUUGGUGGGAGGAAGAUAGAUCCUCUAGAAGAUGUGGAAUUGAGAUCUUCAACUGCAUUCUAUUUUUCAGUCGAAGGAAUUGCUCAGAAUACAACUGUCGGUAUAUUUGAGCCAGAGAGUGGCUGAACUAUUGAGGAUACUAGUUCACCUACUGAAAAGGCUAUCCUUUAUUGGGCAGUUCAGGUUGAUAUCUUCAAUUCUUCAAGUCUUCCCCCUUUAAUUCUGAGAAAAAGCAUGGUGGUGCUGCAGUACACGUGGGAGAUUCUGAAGUUCACUUGCAUUGGAGAGGUGCUGCUGAAAUUGUUCCUGCUGCAUGCAGAGCUGGCCUGAACCAGAUGGUUUGGCUCAGCCAAUGACUUCAGACAAGGAUCCUUGUAGGCCUAGGGUCAGAGAUGCUGGAGAGAUGCACUCAUGCAGGUUUCAAGAUGCUUUGCCAAUAAGUUGGUAUUCUUGGUCAGUCGAAAUAAUCUUCAGAAAGCGAAGCUAUAGCUUUGGUGUUCUGGAUACUUACAGAUGCCGAUGCCUCAGAGCCAACUGUUAUAUAGGGAAAAGUAUUUCGAGCCAUGACUGAUUCAGGAAGAGGGAGAAUUGCUGAGAAAAUAUUUGUAAGACAAACACUACCAUUCUUUUAUGUAUUAAAGCGAAGUCCAUUGUUAAGAUUUUGUCAAGAUAUCAUAAAAGUAACAUUAUAGAGCAUUAUUUUUUGUAAGUACCAGCCACGAGGCAUGUGCAAUGCAUGUCGGAGGGAAGAGAAAACAGAGAGUCAAAUCUAUUUAGGAGUAAAUUCAAAGAAUUCAAUCUACAUGGAAGCCAAAUUAGAGAAAGAAAUUGUAUCCGUUUUCUUUGGUGAUUUAGGGUAAACUAAUAGGCGAAUCGAGUCCAACUAAUAUCCAUCAAGAUAAUUUCUCAUGUUAUUAACUUUCUGACGUCAUUACUGGAUCCUAACCAGUCGUCUUCUGUGUUCCACCUCAUUUGUUUUACUCUGUUUGAUUUAAUAUCGGUGGUGACUUUUUUGGGUACUGAAUUUGUUGGCUCUCAGGAUCCUUGUAGGCCUGGGGUCAGAGAUGCUGUAGAGAAUGCACUCAUGCAGGUUUCAAGAUGCUUUUCCAAUAACUUGGUAUGGCAUAACAGACAAGCAAGUUUACAGUCAUUAUCAGUUGCCCCGGGAAUCUUUGGCCUCAAUUGACUUUGAUGUCAAAGUCAAGUAUGAAACUGGCUCAGCAUAGGCAGUUGAUUGCUUAACUUAUUGGUCAAUCAGUCGUUGAAUGUUUGUUAGCAUGUUAAUACUGUAACAAAAAUUUGUCUUUCAUUAGCAAGGUUCAUUUUGAAAUUAGCAUCAAGAGGCCAUCUUCAAUAAGCUAUGCUAUUAUUAUCUAUUUAGAAAAUUUUCAACCAUGCAGAGGAGAUGUGUUUUCCUUUCAUGUUUUAAUAAAUAUUAUAAAUUUGAUUUAACAUUUUGAAUAACUAGGUAUUCUUGGUCGGUCGAAAUAAUCUUCAGAAAGCUGAAUUUAUAGCUUUGGUGUUCUGGAUACUUACAGAUGCCAAUGCCUCAGAGCCAACUGUUGUAUAGCGAAAAGUAUUUUGAGCCAAGACUGAUUCAGGUAGAGGGAGAAUUGCUGAGAAAAUAUUUGUCAGACAAACACUAACAUUCUUUUAUGUAUUAAAGUGAAGUCCAUUGUUAAGAUUAUGUCAAGAUAUCAUAAAAGCCACAUAAUAGAGCAUUAUUUUUUGUAAGUACUAGUCACGAGGCAUGUGCAAUGCAUGUUGGAGGGAAGAGAAAACGGAGAGUCAAAUCUAUUUAGGAGUCAAUUCAAAGAAUUCAAUCUACAUGGGAGUCAAAUUAGGGAAAUAAAUGAGGUCCAAUUUGUUUGCAAGUUUUAUGGGAGGGAUCCGAUUUGAUUGGAAAAUGAGGAGAUGAAGUGUGUGUAGUUAAGAUAGGCAAAAAGUAAGUGUGAUAAUUAACAUAUUUAUAAAAUAAAUAGGAGAGCAUUGUCGGUAUAAAAAGCAGCAUGCGGAAUCAGGAAGGAAAAUUCCUUGAUUACAAAACUCUCAUUUUUAUCAAUAGUAUAGAUUUUUAGUUUAAUUGUUAUUGAAAUGGUGAUUGGUAUGAUAUACAAAGAAAUCUAGAAUCAGUUGGUAUUGGUUUAGGAUCAGAUUGACUCAAGUCAAAACCAAAAUGUGAUAGACUAGCAUGACAUGCUUAGUGAAACAACAUGCUAGCUGCUUAUUUGCCAAAAACUUGCAUUUGAAAUUGCUAAUUUGUCUGUAUUGAUAAAAGGAGAGUGACAGUUUUGUCUUAUAUUUGACCUGUCAAACAGAACUCACUGUGGUGAUUAUAUGCAUGGUGCACUAUGUCAAUAACUUGUGCUAAUUCUCUUUCAUAUCCUUGUUUGAUCAUUUUGUAUGGCUUCAUCUUGUGUAAGCAGCUUCUUUGGGUCAAUCUCAUCAUGAACCCGGUUGGAGCACUUGCGUGGUAAACAAACCAACAACAAAUCACCUUGUGGACAUACCUGCUGGUUGAAGUUUAGGAAUGUUUGUAAACAUGGUGGACCAUAACAAGAACCUGCUCUAUUCUCAUUCAUAUCUUUGUUUGAUCAUUUUGUAUGGCUUCAUCUUAUCUAAACAGCUUCUUUUUGCCACUGUCAUCAUGUACACGGUUGGAACACUUGCAUUGGUUGCCAUCCCUAUGGUCUUGGUCAUGACUCAUGAGCCUCCCUAGAAAGCCUUCUUCUCGUGAAGUGGAAGAAAAUGUGAGUCUCGUCCAAUUAGCUUACUGAUCUAGGAUUCUGAGAGAGAUACUGAGAAAGCGGAAGACAUUGAUGCUCUCUUUGACCCAACUUCUGACUUUCUUUGCCAAUUAGAUGCUGGAAGGGCUGAUGGUCAAAUUCUCUAACAGCAAGGCAAGCUUGGAUGGUCUGCCAUUUUGCAGGCAACUUGUUGUAGCUGUUCGCAGAUGGUCUAAGACUCACAGAGUGCCUGAGAAACCGGUGGAUUUGUGCCUCCAUUUUCUUUUUCUUCUGUCUGUUUGUUUGUUUGCUAGUUUUUGUUUUCUGCUGAUUGGGUUCUCAAGUUCUCAGAAUUUCAUAUGACAUAGUGGUGGAUGAAAGAUUGGGGGGUAGAUCUCAUAGAAAUAAAGCAGCUAGGUUAUGGGAAUGCAAAUGCUUACUUCAUUAUAAUAAGGUUGGUAAAACCUUACAAAAUUGUUUGUCUGAUGUAUGGCAUGCAGUGGUUUUGAAUCUGAAGCAUUAAAAAAUAAACUCUUAUCUGAAAUGAUGACUAUGGUUAUUAUUGUUGUAACUUUGAAUUAGAGAUUUUCUUAGGUUCUUUCUUGACUCAUGUCUCCACUUUUCUCAUUUUAUCACCAGAUAUGAAGUUUGUAUUAAGUUGAUCUUUUUUAUAAGAAUUUUAAAUUAUGAUGUUUAACCCCUUCAUUUUUCCUUUUCCUCUUCUUGUUGAGGAUUGCUGGUGCACCCCAUUCACUGCACUCUCAAAACUCAAAAGCAAAAUGAGCGGAAAAAGUUACAGGAAGAAGAGUGGAUUACAAGCUUGAAGUUGUCCAACAAUUGCAAGGGGAUCUCCCAGUGGGACGCCUGAACCAUAUCCAUGUCUACCAAGAUGAGGUGCAUCAUGGCUGCUGCACAAAUUUCUAUACUUGUUUGGAGUUGAUAAGAAAGUUUUCCACUACGGCCAUCCCUGAAAUAUUCCUUUUCUUCUUGAACAUAUUAGCUUUCUCGUCUCAGUUUUUUCAGUUGCAGAGAGUUAAAAACAUGCAAUGCUGGAUGAAAUGGUGAAUAUGAGCCUCCUCUUCCUUCCCGUCCCAUUUUAACCUCUCUAAUUAUGAAGACAACUUGAAAGAUCUCCAUGCUAUUUGCAAACACCAGCUGUAUCCAGAGGGCCCAUGCAGACCAACUGCUGUAUAAACUGGUUUCCCAUGCAUCUCUUGCCUCAUGUGCAUUAGGAAUUUUGCGAUCCUGCAUAGAAAACUUCGUGGGCUGCAUGCUAAAAGAGGCCAUGAUUGAUUUGCUGGCUCAUGUUUUUAUGCUUUGACACCCCAAUGGCAAACUGUAUCCCCUGCUUCUACAAAGUGGAGGUGUAUUAAGGGCUACAAUAUAAAUGACCUGCUUCAAUUUGAUAAGUUACUCUUUCCCUUCCGCUGUUGGUGAAGUAUUCCUUCUUGAACAUAUUAGUAUUUGUUUUCAGCAGGAAGUUAUCCAUGACAGUAAAUUAUUUGCCACGUAUUCUUCAUGGCUAUUUUGAACAACCAGCAGCCAGUCCGAUUCUUUUAAAAUUAAAUUUUAUGCUUAUGUAAUAUUAUUUGCUACUUGAAUGGAAAGGGAAGUAGGAAAUAAAAUAGAAAAUCAUAUCAGUCAUACUUUGGAUGGUCUAUUCUUCUGCAAGCAAUCAUUGCAGCCUGCUAAAGAACUGCAAAAAUCUGGAUGACUCCUCCUCCCAGACAGGACAACUUUUCUUUUUCAGCCUUGAUAUUCUUUUCCUUAUUUUCUGAUAUAAUUAUACAUUAUUUCGAUGGCUUUGGCUUAUGAGGUUAUUUCUGAUAUCAGCAGUAGUUUUUUCUUUUCUUUUGACCUAUUUCAGUCAGUGAGAGUGCCACCAACUCCAGCACUCGCAAUACAGUAGUAUCACCCUACAGAUGUGCCCAGGAAUGUCAUCUCAGAACCAAGUUUGCCUGCUCUUAGGAUUUAUUUUCUUCCUGACAAUCGUGUUAAUUAUAUGUUUUAAGUAACUUUACAUGGUGAUUGACUAUUCUAAGGAUCGACCAGUCAUCAUUUCACCAAACAAAAGAUGAUGUGGUGCUUUUUUUGUUUGGUUAAAUUUGAUAAAGUCGUUGACUCGUUGUAUUAUAGUUGGAUGUGGUCCAGCUCCAUUAAUCAUGCUCUCAGUAUCUAGUCUCCAAAAGGCAGGGGAGGCCUGGUCAUGGUGAGGCAUCUAUAGGCAGUCCACGGGUGGAGCUACCCGCCUGCUUCAGCUUGAAUCUUACUCAGAUAUCCAAGUACUUUCAAAACCACUAGAAGGCUGAUAAUGAUGCUUCGAGCUAGUUAGUUUAUCUGUGAACAUGGCCACCUAGUAGCUUGGUGCAGGGUGAAGUUUUUAUCUUGUGGCAUUACUAACAUGUUGCAGAGUUGUGGACAACAGGAACAACGGUGAAAUGAUCUUUAUUGCCUACAGCAUGAAGGACUAUAUUGGUGCCAAUCCAGACACAACUAGAUUGGUGUCAACCAAAGCAUGAGCCUCUUAAGAGUCCUCAAAAAGAGUCAGGGUUAUAUGAGAUCACUGCGAUGCUCUUGCAGAGAACAGUAGAGACAUCUGACGCAGAACGGAAGGUUUCACGGAUGCUCUUCCUGUGUAAGGGAUAUUUUAUAUAAUAUUUUAUAAGAACAUCAAAGAAAAGGGGGAAAGUUCUCAAAACUCAGUCAAUCCUUAUGAAACUGUUUAGUGCAUAAUAAGUGCUUGGAGUGAAGACCAUCUGCCUUGGGUGCAACUUUGGUUUUGCUCAACAUGAUUGGUAGAUUUGGAUCAAGGUUUGUAAAUUUGGAUCGAGCUCGAGCUCAAAAAUUUCAACUCAAUCUUUAAGAAGGGUUAGGCCAGAGUUGAAUUUAAA
This is a non-coding RNA of Phoenix dactylifera (date palm), 7719 nucleotides long. The record is from RefSeq and is a predicted model, not a curated record. Lineage: Eukaryota; Viridiplantae; Streptophyta; Magnoliopsida; Arecales; Arecaceae.